RNAcentral lists this ribosomal RNA (251 nucleotides) under uncultured prokaryote. RNAcentral describes it as "partial 16S rRNA". It matches the Rfam family "Bacterial small subunit ribosomal RNA", at positions 525 to 775 of the family's 1533-position model. The record is from RNAcentral.
ACAGAGGGUGCAAGCGUUGUUCGGAAUCACUGGGCGUAAAGGGCGUGUAGGUGGCUAAUUAAGUCAGGUGUGAAAUCCUUCCGCUUAACGGGAGAAGUGCACUUGAAACUGCAUAGCUAGAGUACGGUAGAGGAAGGUGGAAUUCCUGGUGUAGAGGUGAAAUUCAUAGAUAUCGGGAAGAACACCGGUGGCGAAGGCGACCUGCUGGCCCGAAACUGACGCUGAGACGCGAAAGCGUGGGGAGCAAACAG